Molecule: long non-coding RNA, 223 nt
Filed under: Lathyrus oleraceus (garden pea)
Lineage: Eukaryota; Viridiplantae; Streptophyta; Magnoliopsida; Fabales; Fabaceae
Description: Pisum sativum (pea) long non-coding RNA (PSAT_LNC029831)
Source: RNAcentral
UUUUUGAUUUUUUUUGAUUUUUUUGAUUUUGAUUUUUUUGAUUUGAUUUUUUUUUUUUUGAUUUUGUUUUUCACCCUCUUUUUGAUAUUACAUCUGUAAAACCCCAAUUUGACUGUUUCUAGGUUCUCAAGAUGCGGCUGAAUGAUCUUAUCUUCAUGCUCAAGAAGACGGGUAAUCUCAUCAGGAAUCCCUUCAACAUCAUCUUCCUCUGCCUCGAAUACAG